GACGAACGCUGGCGGCGUGCUUAACACAUGCAAGUCGAACGGAAAGGCCCUGCUUUUGUGGGGUGCUCGAGUGGCGAACGGGUGAGUAACACGCGAGUAAACUGCCCUUGACUUUGGGAUAACUUCAGGAAACUGGGGCUCAUACCGGAUAGGAGCUCCUGCUGCAUGGUGGGGGUUGGAAAGUUCCGGCGGUUGGGGAUGGUCUCGCGGCUUAUCAGCUUGUUGGUGGGGUAGUGGCUUACCAAGGGUUUGACGGGUAGCCGGCCUGGGAGGCUGACCGGCCACAUGGGGACUGAGGUACGGCCCAGAAUCCUACGGGAGGCAACGGUGGGGAAUAUGGCGGAGUGGGCGGAAGCCUGAUGCGGCAACGCCGCGUGCGGGAUGACGGCCUUCGAGUUGUAAACCUAUUUCGCCGGUGACGAAGCGUGAGUGACGGUAAUGAGUAAAGAAGCACCGGCUAACUACGUG
RNAcentral lists this ribosomal RNA (468 nucleotides) under uncultured bacterium. Its description in RNAcentral is "partial 16S ribosomal RNA". It matches the Rfam family "Bacterial small subunit ribosomal RNA", at positions 28 to 507 of the family's 1533-position model. The record is from RNAcentral.